Molecule: ribosomal RNA, 466 nt
Filed under: uncultured bacterium
Lineage: Bacteria
Description: partial 16S ribosomal RNA
Rfam family: Bacterial small subunit ribosomal RNA
Source: RNAcentral
GACGAACGCUGGCGGCGUGCUUAACACAUGCAAGUCGAACGGAAAGGCCCUGCUUGCAGGGUACUCGAGUGGCGAACGGGUGAGUAACACGUGGGUGAUCUGCCCUGCACUUCGGGAUAAGCUUGGGAAACUGGGUCUAAUACCGGAUAGGAGCCAUCUUUAGUGUGGUGGUUGGACAGUUUUUUCGGUGUAGGAUGAGCUCGCGGCCUAUCAGCUUGUUGGUGGGGUAAUGGCCUACCAAGGCGGCGACGGGUAGCCGGCCUGAGAGGGUGUACGGCCACAUUGGGACUGAGAUACGGCCCAGACUCCUACGGGAGGCAGCAGUGGGGAAUAUUGCACAAUGGGCGCAAGCCUGAUGCAGCGACGCCGCGUGGGGGAUGAAGGCCUUCGGGUUGUAAACUCCUUUCGCUAGGGACGAAGCUUUGUUGUGACGGUACCUAGAUAAGAAGCACCGGCUAACUACGUG